This 515-nucleotide ribosomal RNA is filed under the name uncultured bacterium. RNAcentral's name for it is "partial 16S ribosomal RNA". It matches the Rfam family "Bacterial small subunit ribosomal RNA", at positions 28 to 523 of the family's 1533-position model. The record is from RNAcentral.
GAUGAACGCUGGCGGCGUGCCUAAUACAUGCAAGUCGAGCGAAUGGAUUAAGAGCUUGCUCUUAUGAAGUUAGCGGCGGACGGGUGAGUAACACGUGGGUAACCUGCCCAUAAGACUGGGAUAACUCCGGGAAACCGGGGCUAAUACCGGAUAACAUUUUGAACCGCAUGGUUCGAAAUCGAAAGGCGGCUUCGGCUGUCACUUAUGGAUGGACCCGCGUCGCAUUAGCUAGUUGGUGAGGUAACGGCUCACCAAGGCAACGAUGCGUAGCCGACCUGGGAGAGUGAUCGGCCACACUGGGAAUGAGACCCGGCCCAGACUCCUACGGGAGGCAGCAGUAGGGAAUCUUCCGCAAUGGACGAAAGUCUGACGGAGCAACGCCGCGUGAGUGAUGAAGGCUUUCGGGUCGUAAAACUCUGUUGUUAGGGAAGAACAAGUGCUAGUUGAAUAAGCUGGCACCUUGACGGUACCUAACCAGAAAGCCACGGCUAACUACGUGCCAGCCGCCGCAGUAA